UGCGGGCGGCAGUCUACCAUGCAGUCGAGCGGUAGCACAGGGAGCUUGCUCCUGGGUGACGAGCGGCGGACGGGUGAGUAAUGUGUGGGAAACUGCCUGAUGGAGGGGGAUAACUACUGGAAACGGUAGCUAAUACCGCAUAACGUCUACGGACCAAAGUGGGGGACCUUCUGGCCUCUUGCCCUCACAUGUGCCCAGAUGGGAUUAGCUAUUAGGUGGGGUAAUGGGUCACCUAUGCGACAAUCCCUAGCUGGGCUGAGAGGAUGACCAGCCACACUGGAACUGAGACACGGUCCCCACUCCUACAGGAGGCAGCAGUGGGGAAUAUUGCACAAUGGGCGCAAGCCUGAUGCACCCAUGCCGCGUGUGUGAAAAAAGCCUUCGGGUUGUAAAGCACUUUCUCCGAGGAGGAAGGGUACUGUGUUAAUAGCACAGUGCAUUGACGUUACUCGCAGAAAAAACACCGGCUAACUCCGUGCCAGCAGCCGCGGUAAUACGGAGGGUGCAAGCGUUAAUCGCAAUUACUGGGCGUAAAGCGCACGCAGGCGGUUUGUUAAGUCACAUGUGAAAUCCCCGCGCUUAACGUGGGAACUGCGUUUGAAACUGGCAAGCUAGAGUCUUGUAUAGAGGGGUAGAAUUCCAGGUGUAUCGCUGAAAUGCGUAUAGAUCUGGAGGAAUACCGGUGGCGAAAGCGGCCCCCUGUACACAGACUGACGCUCACGUGCGAAAGCGUGGGGAGCAAACAGGAUUAUAUACCCUGGGAGUCCACGCUGUAAACGAUGUCUACUUGUGGGGUUGUGCCCUUGAGGCGUGUCUUCCGCGAGCUAACGCGUUAUGUCGACAGCCUCGGGAGUACAGCCGCAAGGUGUAUAAACUCACAUGAAGUUGACAGGGGGGCCCGCACAAGCGGUGGAGCAUGUGGGUUUAAUUUCUAUGCGACGCGAAGAAACUUAUCUACUCUUGACAUCUACGAGAAUUCUCUAGAGAUAGCUUAUAGUCGUUCUGGGAACUCUGAGACAGUGCUGCAUGGCUGUCGUCAGCUCUGUGUGAAAUGUGGUUAGUCCGCACGAGCGCAACCCUAUCCUGUGCAGCACGUAUGCGGGAACUCAAGAGACUGCGGUGAUAACCGCA
This 1131-nucleotide ribosomal RNA is filed under the name Bacillus sp. (in: firmicutes). RNAcentral's name for it is "bacterial SSU rRNA". It matches the Rfam family "Bacterial small subunit ribosomal RNA", at positions 34 to 1168 of the family's 1533-position model. The record is from RNAcentral. Lineage: Bacteria; Bacillati; Bacillota; Bacilli; Caryophanales; Bacillaceae.